CUGCAGCCAUUAAACUGACCAUGCUCUUUUCCCCGUGGGGGCCUGGUGUGCAAUGGCUGCACACAGUUGCAUUCUUAUUUAUUUUUAUAUAUUUAUAAAAAUAAAUAUAUAAAAAUUU
Molecule: small nucleolar RNA, 118 nt
Organism: Eptesicus fuscus (big brown bat)
Lineage: Eukaryota; Metazoa; Chordata; Mammalia; Chiroptera; Vespertilionidae
Product: small nucleolar RNA SNORA70
Exons: 1
Source: RefSeq, a predicted model, not a curated record